This 251-nucleotide ribosomal RNA is filed under the name uncultured fungus. RNAcentral's name for it is "partial 18S ribosomal RNA". The record is from RNAcentral. Lineage: Eukaryota; Fungi.
CACAGCUCCGGAGACCUUGCACCCCGAACGGAGGCAGCACGACGAUAAACAAAGCUCGCCGCGUGCAAGUUGGCCGCACGGUCAGCAACACGAUCGAAUUGACGGGGACCUCCUAAAGCCUGCAACACCAACCGUCCGGGGAAACUCGGGCGGGGCCCUCACGGGGUGGUAAGAGAGUGCAGGAUGAACAAUGGACGAUCCGCAGCGAAGACCCUACCGGCGAGAGCCCACGGGUACCGUUCACAGACUAA